ACCUGUGGACAUCCCGCAGCUCAGAACACAAACUUUAUCAAGUGGAGCAUGUGGAUUGAUCUUGGCGACCUGACCGACAUGGACGACAGUGUAUUCGCUGAAAGUAGAGGUGCCAAGGAAGUGGUAGAUAGGCUUCCCAUUGAUGGAAAACCUGGAUUUUCCAUCAUUAAUCAUUCCAACCCUGUCAGUGUUGAUUCGGAGGAGAUCACACAUAUUACUCUCUUCAGACAAGCAAUGGGGACACUCCUUGCAUUCCCCAGUGAAGAUGGGGAGAACAUGGUCACCUGGCUUUAGAUCAGUCACGCCCUCUCCUACACUCUCUACAAUCCUAAACAAAAAUCAAAGAAAAGGGUUAAUGCGUAUACACAUAAUAAGAAUAUUAUAGGAACUGUAAAUAUUUAGACUGGCAUAUACAUACCCUCCAGCUUCGUGACCAAGUAUGCGAGGAAACAGAGGAUUUUGUCCCUGCAAUAACAGAAACAAUGCCAGAGUCAGAUUGAAAAUCUUUCUCCUAACAAGUUGAAGUAAGAAAAAAAAGAGAAGUGUGAACCUUAGCAUCCCAGAAGUAGACAUCGGUGUGACAUAACGAAGUGAAGAGUAUCUUAAUACGGACUUCAUCCUUCUGCGGUGGUGCCACUUCCACUUCCUCUAUUGACAGUGGCUUCCCCGACUCCCAUGCCACCGCAGCUGCAAUAAUACCAAAACCACUGAAUUAGCAAAGCAAUCGCCAAACAACCGAUUAAUCAGUCACAAGAUGGACAAAACAAAGAGAAAGUUUUAACAAGCAUCAAAACCACCAGAAAACAAACAAAACCAGAGAUCUCAGAAAAAAAACCCAACAAAGAACAGUGAUCCUAUAACCAGAAACAGUUGCAUAUCAGAGAGGGAGAGUCGAUUGAUCACCUCUGCAACGGAUGACCUGACCAGCAGUACUCAUAAUGGCUGUUAACAGAAAUAAAGACUUCUUUUUUUGUUUAUCUGAUCACUUCUUUAUUUUUCUUAUGUAUGUUGUUUAUGAUGAAAGAAGAAAGCUAGCAAGAUUCUAUUUAUAGGGAAACCCAUUUCCCGCUCGCUAAAUUACGCAAAGCACAGCAAUGGUUUGCUUUUCCCUUUCCAAGACGAAACUGUGUCUGGUUUUGUGUAGCAGUAUUCACUGUUGUCAUGGUUUUGUAUUUGUGUCCGUAACUUUUUAUGCAUGAUUUUUAAUAUGUCAAUAUGUAGUAUUAUAUUAACCUUGGUUCUAGUCGUGGACUUUUGGUUUAUGCGGCUGGGUUAGUUGAAAACUAUUCACCACAAUCAUGGGCGCCUCAUGGAACCUUGAUUUGUUCUGAUUUUUGUUUUUUAAUUCCUAUAUGCCGUUUUUAAUUCCUAAGGCAUCAAUCGACGUGGGGUUAUGAAGAGAACUGGGCCUAUUGAUUUUCCUUUUUCUGGCUGAAAAACAAGAUUAGGCGUAUUGAUUUCCACUUGUUAUUCAAAUCCAGCAUUUACUGUGGAUUCAUCGGUUCAUCCAAAUCUAAUAUUUAGGGUUUUUCCUUCUUUCACCAAAUAAACAUCGCGGUUUCCUUUUUAGUUUAAAAGUAUUUUCUAACCAAUAAAAUUAUUUUUAGGUUUAUACUUAAAAAAAACAUUAAGAAUAUGUAAACAAAUCAAUUAACCCUCUGAAUUAAUUUUACACUUAAUUAAGCCUUUAUUGUCAACUAAAAUAAUUAGUUAAGCUUCUUUGUUAAUUGUUUCCAUCCUUGACCACAUUAAUCGUUAAAAUAAAUUAUGGAUCAAUCAGAUGGUGCCAAAUAAUAACUUUUAGUUUAAUUUAAUGCUUUUUCCAUGAAAAUAUUAAAAAUAUAUAAAUUAAUAAGGGAAAAUCAGAAAAAUUAUAAAAAUAUAUAAAAAAACUAUAAAUUGUUAUGAAUAUCUUAUUAAGUGGAUGUCCAUUAUGAUCAAGAUAAAAUUUCGGUAUAUUUUAAAUUCUAAUAGUUAUUAGAAUUAGAUCUCUAUUUCUUCUAUACUUCUUAUGCCUAUAAACAGAGACUCUGAUAAAGCAUUGUAAUCACCCCUUUUGAUCAAUAAAUCUCAUUCUCUAUUGCUUUCAUAUUUCUUUGUUCUUUAUUCUCUCCAUCUCUCUUUAUUUUAUAACACGUUAUCAACACGAUGAUUCUCUAUUUUUUCAAAAUCUUUCGAAGUCACCCCACAAAUCAAAUUCCUUUUCACCUUAAACUUUCUCCCUUACAACUUCAUCUUCAGGAUGUUAAAAUAUUCAAUCUCAGAAUGAAUUGUGGUUCUUAUUCCCGAUCUUUGAUUUAUAAUUGUACAAGCAUGGGUAAAGAAUAGAUUUGUCAUGGUGAUGACGAUGAUGUUAAAGAUCUUCAGAUAUAUUUUACUAUAUUUUAUUUAUUUUAUCAUGUUUGUUAUAAUUGGAGACUAAUCAUGACAACAUGAGUAGAGAAAUUCUAAUUUAAAAUUCAUGCAUGUUUGCGAUGGUGAUUAUGAAAUAAAGAAUCUAUUGAGACGUUUAUAAGUUCGUCCUAGUAAAUCUAUUGCAUUCCCCGAAGUGAAUGUAAAUAUAAAGAAAAUAAAAUAUAUACUCAUAGACCACUAAAAGUGGGAACAUAGUAAUAAAUAAGAGAACAAUGAGAGUUCUCAAGAAAACUUUUCAAAGGGUAAAGAUAACUUAUGCUAUCAAUGUGAUAUGAAAUUAUAGGCCACAUAUGUGGCGUAUGCCCAAAUAUUUUGUUUCUGUUAUUAUUCUUUGAGGAAUGAUAUGAAAAUGUAGUAAUGAAAUCUAUCAUUACAGAUAAAAAAUAUUUAUCUUAUUUGGUAUUGAAACAAACAAAUAUUAUUCAAAUAUUUGAUAGUACAAAAUUAGUUGAAAGCUUCAGAAGAGAAAAUAUGUCACUAUCUAAAAAACACAAAAUUUAUGAUGGUUAAUACAUUACUUUUAAAAGUUAUUUGUAAUGGAUCUCAUAUUGAGAUUGUGAAUGAGGAAAAUAUUAUAUUUCAUAUGAAUCACUAUUGCUAUAAAUAUCUAUUUUAAAAGGAUGAAAAAGGGAGGAUUGAGUUUUGGUUACUCUUGUUAUUAAAUUGAAUUGAUUGUGAUUAUCUUUGUGACCUUCUUUUGUCAUCAUCCCCAUUAAGGGGUUGGAAGCAAAAUAUUUGACUGUGAAAGAUCUAUUUAUGAGUAAUAAAAUAUGACAAUUCUAUCUAAAUCUCGUUAUGGUUGGAUGUACUUGAAGUUGCAAAAUUGUUGAUUUAAUUUUCACCGAAUGUGUGAGGGAAGGAGCAAAUUGAAUUGUUAUAAUCGGUGUUGGGAAAUAUUAGCAAGCUUUCUUUGAAUUUUUUUUUAUUUCUUUAGUGUUUGAUAAUUUUUGAAAAAUUUUAAAUUACUGUCCGAAUUUUACCCUGAUUAAUAUUGUUAAUUGCUGCUCUGUUUAUACUGUCCGAUUGUGGUAUUGAUGUUGUUCGAAUAUUGCAUUGUUAAUGAUGUUUAGAGAGUGACACUGUUUAUGUUGUUUUAAGGGCUGAUGUUUGGUGUAUUAAUGCAGCAAAAAAAUUCUUGUUUAGUCGUCAAUUAAUGUUGUCUAAGUGACUGUAUUUAUAUUGUUUUAAGGGCUGCUGUUUGGUGUAUUAAUGCAGCAGAAAAUUGUUGUUUAGAUGUCAAUAAAUGUGGUCUGAAUGAUUUUAAAUUAUGUUAAUAAUGGUCGAAGUUGCAAAUGAAUAAAUAGUGAUGUAUUUAUUAUGUCUGAAAUUUGAAAAAAUGAGUGUUUAAUGCUGCCUUUAAUGUAGCUGAGAAGGUAAUAAAAGACCAGUAUAAUGAUACAAAAUUUAUGUCUUAAGUGUUAGUUAAUGAGUUAGUUAUAUGGUGAUAAAUAGUCGUAUGUUUAUAUCGUUUGGGCAGUUGGUAGACUAUUAAUUAAUGUUAAUUAGUGUUGUCUAAAUUGAUGUCAGGUUAAGUUAUUGAAGAGUGUAAUUAGUAAUUAAUAUGUACUGCAUCAAUAAGUUAACUGUUAAUUAUUAUUAAAAUUGGUUUUAGUGGAUUAAUUAGGCUGCUAUAAUGCAGGAUUUGAAUGCUGUUUGAAUUGAUAUUAAGUACUUAAUUAUACUGCCAUAUUUUUUUGUAUAUUAAUGUUGUUUAUUAAAGAGUAUCUUAAUGCCAUCCAAAUAUGUAAAUCUUUCAAAUUUUAAGUUUAAUGAACUAUUAUAAAUUCCUACUGUAUUCGUGUUAUCCAAAUUGGAAUGAAUUGGAUAAUAGUUGUGUUUGUGUUGACCAUUUGUGAGGAAUAAAUAUGUUUUUACUAAUUAUAAUUAAAUGAUAGAAUGGUUUGAGUUUGAACUUGAUUUGAUAUUUGAGUUAGUUAAUAUAUUGAUUUAUUAUUAUGCUUUGAUAGUGAAACAAAUAGAUCGAUUAUAAAUGGUGGAAAAGAUACAGUCGUGGAAUAAUCAUCUAUGACUUGAGGUAAGUCUAUAAGCAUAUAAAUGUCAUUAAAUUUGAUAAUAUAUAAAUGUUACAUGAUGAAUGGAAUUUUUGUGAAUAUAUUUGUGUAUGGUCGAAUGUGUAUUGAGCAAAGGAGCUAUAUUUCGAGUUCGAUCCGAUCGAGAUUCAAGGUCUGAAAGUCCCGUACGAACCCUAGGAAUAGAUAGGAUACUUAUGUCAUGACAUAGGAUUUUCGGUACGUGUUUUCGUGUAAGACCACAUCUGGGAUGUUGGCAUCGAUUUGUGUUUACGUGUAAGACCAUGUCUGGGACAUCGGCAUUGUAUUUGAUUCAUGUAAGACCCUGUCUGAGACAGUGGCAUUGAUAUAUGAUUACAUGUAAGACCACGUCUGGGACAUUGGCAUUGUACGAGUUUUCUGAUUAUUCGCGUAUCAUUUUAAAUUUUCAAACGGUUCAACGGGCAAUGUGAAGUAAAGACCGAAUGUUGAAUCGAAUUAAAAGGUUCAGGUAUGUAUUCAUACUAUGAUAUGAAAUUAAGGUAAGUUGUAUACUUGAAUUGAUAUACUUGUGAUAUUAUAAGUGAUUCAGCCUAAUGAUAUAGUUGUGACAUUAAAGAGUGAUAAUUAUAUAUGUUUAUGAGUAUUGGUGCAUUUAGCUAUAUGAUGUUAAAUGCUAAUUCAUAUUUGAAAACAUAUAAACUUGUGAAUGUGAGAUAUAUAUAUUUCAUUAAGGUUAGGACUAACUAGGUUAAUUGACUUAAUGUUAAUAUUCAUAUGAUUAUUGUUUGCUUAUGACUUACUAAGCUGUCAAAGCUUAUUGUGUAUAUGUUGCUCUUCGUUUUAUAGAUUUAGGAAGUUGGUUACGAGCUCGGGGAUCGUCAGAGAAGACUAUCACACUAUCGACUCCUUUCGGCAUUUUGUUAAGUUUGAAUUCGAUCUUAUGGCAUGUAUAGCAUAGCUGAAAUACUUGAUUUUGGGUUAUGUAAUAUUGAGCCAUGCAAAAAUGGCUUAUUUCUUUUGGUUAAACUUAGUUUCUAUCCCUUUGAAUAUAAUGGAUUUAUUUGAUGCUUGAGUAUUUAGAUUCGGCCAUGGUAUAAUUAUGUGUGACUUGUUUAAUAUAUUUUGUUAAUGAUCAAUUGAAUUAAGUCAUGGUUUAAACUUGUAUCGAAAGUAAUAUGUAUUUCAUAUGUAUGUGAUAUAUAUAUAUGGUGUAUGCUUAGUGAUAAGGUUUUGAUAUGUGGAUUGAAUAAAUGGGUAAAAUGCUAAGUAUAUUAUAAAUGAAAUGAUAGUUAAGUUCAGUUAUAACAUAUGGAAAAAUAUGUGUAAUUUUGGUCAUGAUUUAGGCCUGUUUUAAAAGUGUGUUUUAUGUUGUAAAUGAAUGUAUGAGUUUGAGAUUUGUAAAUGAGAAAUGAUAUGUAUAAUUUUAAUAUAUGAAUCAAGUAUUAUGCAUGUCAUAUAAGUGUGAUGUGUUUUGGCAAGAAGAUAUGAAAUGAAUAUGAUUCAGUUGUGGUUUAUUAUGGAUUCAUUUAUAAUGUAUAAUUUGAUUCAUGGAUAGGCUUGAAAGUGGUAAAUGAUGUGUAGUUAUAUUCGGCUAGUGAUGGGUAAAACAAAUACAUAUACCUAUGAUAUGUUUAAUUGUGGUUUGCUAUUUAAAUGUUGAAUGAUUGAUUUCGAAAUGUGUUAAAUAUGUGGUAGCAAAUUCGGCCUUAGUAAAUGGUUCAUUUUGAUAAGCAUGUGAGUUGGAUGUAAUAUUAUUUACCUAUUUAUGAUCGAAUAGGAUAAAUUUUAUUAUUGAAAAAUGCCUAUGAAUUGGUAAGGAACAAGAUACUAUUCUAUUAUUUGUAAUGUUUGUUAAUAUUUCAUACGUGGUUCUUAAAUAGGAUAAAUGAUACGUUUUGUUUUAACUUAAUGAGUGAAUUUGCAAAAGUACAUAGAUUGUUAUGUUUGAUAAUUAACUAAUGAAAUGGACGUUUAUAAACAGAUGGAUAUAUGCAUGCGGUAUAUGUGAAAUAAAAUAGGUUUGAAGACUAAUUAGAAGUCUAAAAGCCAUGAACUUUGGUCAUAAGGUUUGGUUAUUGAGGUUGUAUGAUAUAUGUAUUAUGAGCUGAUAUAAAUUAGUUGGGUCGAAUAAGUGAUUAAAUUAUUAAUAUUGAUAUUAAAUAUAAAAUGCAUGUGUAUUGAUGUGAUUGAAUUACGAAACAAGAAAUGUAGUAAAUGUCUGUUCUGAUAUGUGCUAUAUCCGGUAAUGCCUUGUAACCCUAAUCCAGCGACAGAUAUGGGUUUGGGGUAUUACAGUUUGGAAAUUAUAUUUAUUUUGUUGACUUAGUGACAUUAUAAUAUUCACAUUGAUUUAGACAUUCCUAGUAGUAAAUGUCAAAAUAGCACUUAUAUGUGGACACAAAGUAAAAGUAAUGAUAGUAAAAUUAUUAAUUUGUUACAAUUUAGUACAAUUGAAACACAUGUUAAAGUAAACUAGAAGUUUACUGAUACAAAUGCAUUUACUACUUGGCGUGACCAGUUAGACCAUCCUGGAUCAUAUAUGAUGCGGAAAUUAAUUAAGAAUUCAUAUGGACAUUCAUUAAAGGACUAAAAGAUCCUUUAAUUUUAAAAGAAUUCUCAUAUGUUGCUUGUUCUCAAUGAAAAUUGAUUAUUAGAAACUCACUAGCUAAAGUUGAGAUUUAAUGUCUUGCAUUUCUGAAAUGAAUAUGGGCCCAUUCAUCCACUAUACGGAUGGUUUUGAUAUUAUAUGAUUUUGGUAGAUGCAUCUAAAAAAUAACCACAUAUGUGUUAUCAAUUUGCAACCUGUCGUUAGCAAGAUUGAUUGUUUAAAUAAUUAAUUUCAAAUCAUGCAAUUAAGACAAUUCAUCUUGCUAAUACUGAUGAGUUUAUAUCUUAAUCUUUUAUUGAUUGAGUUUGAAAAACUUUUGUAAAAGUUUGCGCAUAAUGAUUUAGAGAAAUUAUUGAUUGAACACCUCUGAUUAAUGUCUAAACCAUUACUUAUGAGAACUAAACUUCUUAUUUCAACAUGAGAUUAUGUUGAUUUACGUGUUGUAUGAAUCAAGCCAAUAAGUUAUAAAACUCCCUAUUAUAAUUGGUUUUUGAUCAAGAGCUAAAUAUUUCACCACAACGCACAAAGAUGAGUGAAUCCUCAAAUAAAGUUGAGAAUAUAUAUUAAUUACAAGUUUCUUUAUAUUAUUAGAUGUUUUGAAUGUAUUCGAGAUUUAAUUAUGACAUGAUUUGUGAUUACAAUUUUGAUUCGAUAGUUUUUUGACAUGAAGGGGAGGGAAAUAAUAACUCGUAAUGAGUUAGGGGGAGAGUAAUUUGAACCAGAAGUUCAAUAAGGAUAACUCAUUACAAGUUAACUGUUAGCUGUAUUUACAAACUUAAUAAGAAUAACCAAGUGUUAUAUACCAUCUAAUAUUUUUAUUUGAAUCAAAGUCCCAAUAGGACAAUCAGUUGGAAUAAAAUAAUAGAUUGAUCAGUUCCAAAUAUGAAAAUUCUUCUAGAUGGUCAUAUAGUGGAGGCGGGUGCUUUAGAAGAGACCCAAGACAUAACUAAUAAGUAAAACUUCAGAAGAGAUUCUUGUACCUGAAAUUAAAUUUUAAAAUAAUGAAAACAAGAGAUCUCGAUAAGUUAUGUCAAUUUGAGAAAAUAUGGAACCGAUUAAUAAAAGUGGUCGACAAUGAUUUUGAAUGCAAUAUUAUUAUUGAAAUAAUAAAAUAAAAGGAAGAUCUUGAAUAAAUCUAUUGAGAAAUAUAGAUAUAAAAUAAAUUGAUCAAAAUAGAAAGACGCAACUUAAGUACAACUAAAUUUGUGGAAUUUUUGGACCAGUAGUCCAAAUAUCUAAAUGUAUAAAGCCAGUGAGGGUGCAAAUGAAGUAGUUUUGCAAAAACGGAAUAAAAAUACUAAGUACUGGUAUUGAUUAUGAAAAUAUAUAAUAUUCUUUUGUGGUGGAUGCAAUAACCAUUAGACAUAUUAUUUUGACAAUUCAUAAAAGAUUUAACUUACGUCUAAUGGUGGUUGUUACAUCCUUUAUAAAUCACGAUAUAGUAAAGUUUAUAUUAAAAUCCUUGAAGGAUUUAGAAUGCUAGAAGCAUAUUGAAAUUCUCGGAAAAUUAUACAUUUAUAUAAAUUGAAAUAAUUGAACAUAUGUGGUAAAUUUGACUUAGUCAAUAGUAGUUGAAAGAGGAUUAUAAAAUGAUCCAAAAUACCUAUUUUUAUUUUUAUAGAAGGAUCAUGAUGAAAGUUUGAUAUGAUUAUUGUUGAAACUCCUAAAGAGAUCAAAAUAUGUUUCCCCAAAAUUUUCUCUCACUCAUGAUUUUCAAAAGAAUGGUGAUAUAAAUGCUUAGCAAUACAUUCAAAUAGUCAUUUGAAAAACUAGUAUUCAAGAUUGAAUAUGUAGAAUAUAAGAAACUAUGUUAUGUUUUCAUGAGGGAGAGUAAAUACGUGUUGUACUCUUUUUUCCUUAACCGAGGUUUUGUCCCAUUAGGUUUUCCUGGUAAGGUUCUUAAUGGGACAGCAUAUUAUGCAUAUUAUAGAUUGUGUACACUUUUUCCUUCAUUAAGUUUUUAUCCCACAGGGUUUUUCCUAAUAAGGUUUUAACGAGGCACAUUAUCUACCAAUGGACAUCCAAGGGCGAGUGUUAUGAAUAUCUUAUUAAGUGGAUGUCCAUUAUGAUCAAGAUAAAGUUUUGGUGUAAUUUAAAUUCCAAUAGUUAUUAGAAUUAGAUCUCUACUUCUUCUAUACUUCUUAUGCCUAUAAAUAGAGACUCUAAUGAAGCAUUGUAAUCACCCCUUUUGAUCAAUAAAUUACAUUCUCUAUUGUUUUCAUAUUUUCUUUAUUCUUUAUUCUCUCCAUCUCUCUUUAUUUUAUCAUAUAAAUGAUAUUUUUUAAUAUUAAAAAAUUUAAAAAUAUGAAAAUUGAUAUGAACUUAUAAAAAUUAUUAAAAAGUUAUAAAAAUUAUAAAAAUCUAAUAAAUUAUAAAAUUAAUAAAACAUAUUUAAAUUUUAAAAAUGUACUAAAAUUCAAUAAAAAUCAUGAAAAAAAUAUAAAAAGUAUUCAAAGUGAUUUAAACUUAUAAAAAUUAUUAAAAAUAGAUAAAAACUUGAACAGGACUGGAUCAGUCGUUUAGAUUGAUUAGACCAAAAUCAACAAGGGCAUCUUGAGAAAGCCAUUAGAUCGGUUGACUUGGGACGGUAGAACUAAUUUUUUUUAUUUUGAAUGUUUUAUUUAAUUGAACUGGAUGGAUCAAUCGAACUAGCAAACAGAUGGCCUGAUCGGUUUGACCACUAAUUCAAUUCUGAAAACCUUGGUUAAAAUAUUUCAUUCUGACAUAAGUUAAUAGUUGGAUAAUUAAAUUUUGGUUUGAUAAAAAUACUAAAAAAUAAAAAAUCUGUUCAACCGCCCGAUUCCUAAGUUAACCGGUCUAAUGGCUUUUCUCACACCAAUUUCCUUGCCAAUUUCAGGCUAACCAGUCCAGUUCAAUUUUUUAUAAGUUUAUAUCAAUUUUAAUGUAUUUUUAUAAUUUUUUAUUAUUUUUAAGAAUUAUAAUACAUUUUUUAUUUUAAAUAUUUUUUAUUAAUUUUAUAAUUUAUAAGAAUUUUUAUAUUAUUACAAUAUUUAUAUUUUUUUAUAAUUUUAAUAAGUUUAUAUCAUUUUUAUUAUUUUUUAUGAUUUUUAAUCAUGUUUAAUGGGAAAUAUUAUAUUAAACCAGAAGUUGUCAUGUGUCACCAUUUAAUUGGUCUAUUAAUUUAUUUUAACGGUCAACGUGGUCAAUGACGGAAAUUGUUAACGAAGGUGCUUAAUUAAUUAUUUUAGUUAACAGUAGGAGCUUAAUAGGGUGCAAAUUUAAUACAAGAUGUAACACCCCAUUUUUGACCCAAUCACUAAAUCAGAGUAUGUGAUGUCACAUUAGGUUGCCAAAACAGCUCAAGCUAAUCCAUUUCAUAAUUAUAAAAUUUAAAACAUAACGUAGCAAUUAGCCAAUUUAAUCAUCAAUCAUAUUCGCACUUAUUCAUUUAUAAUGGUUAAGGUUCAAAAUCAUUGUUAAAUGGAGUUAAAAAAGGUCAAAUGUUGAGUUAGGACUCGAAUUUGAACUCAAAUAUCAAAUUUUAAAUUCACGUCUCCUUGUCUCAAGACAGAUCAUAAAUUAUUUUUUGAUUUUUAUCUUCGAAGUUAGCAUGUCCUGAUAUAUUACUAAUUGUGUCUCAAGAUUGUUGCGAGACAACAUCUCGAGACCAACCUCCCCUGUUUUCCUAUGUUUUCUUUAAUGUUUGAAUGUCUCGAGACAAGAGGUUCCUAUCUCGAAGCCUGGAACAGGGUAAAACCUAUUGAGCUUCAAUGUUCUUUUAUCUCGAGACCUAAAGCAAGGCAAAACCUAUUUAACUUUGAUGUUCUUUUGUCUCUAGACCUUGGAUCAAUUUUUUGAGAAUAUACAUUUAUGUUUCGAGACCUCAUGCUCUUAAAUGCAAAAUUUAAAUGAAACUUGUAACGGUCUUGAGACAUGUUCUUUCAAUCUCGACACUAAAUGGUCAAAUGACCUAAAAUGGACAUUUUCAAGCAAACAAAUCUUACUUAAUUGUACCUAAAAAAUACUCAAAUAUUGCACCAAUACCAAAUCACUAAUUGUGUAAUACCUUGACCGGUGUAUUCUUGUUGGCAGAUUGUAAGGGCUGAGAGUUAGCUAAGAUUUAAGUCAAGGUGAGACUGACUUAUGUUGUACUCGCCAGUAUGGUACUUGUUUAUGUUGUGCGCCAUGAGUGGCGUAUGUUGUUUAGGGUGAAGUCUAUGUUGUAUUUUAUGGUCUAACGUGGUCGUAGUGAGGAACCCACCAAUCAGUGUUUCUUUUGGAAAGUUUGUGUGUUAAGACCUUUUUUUUAUGUACGCCAGUAUAGGAUUGUGAGAUGUGGAUCUGAAUGUUAUCUGUUUGUGCACGUGUGAAUUCUGUUUAGUUUUUUUAAGUGGGAUUUAGUUAGAAAAAUACCAAAGUGUUAUGAUUAUUCUUGAUGUGUUAUAGUAUGUAAUGAUUAUGUGUGCCAUGAUAGAAUUGAGUUAGCUUUGCAUGUUAGUCACAUCUUAUGUUAGUCCUAAGAGAGAAAGUUGUGAGAUAUAAAUGUCAGUGAAAACCUUUGUAGUGGGGAUUUUUCCCUUCUCUUUUCUUUUGCUCUAUUACACUUUGAAAUCUUGUUAAGAGGAGUUCGUUGGAGAAGCAGCAGCAAGUAAUUGAUUAGAAACAAGAGUUGUGCAUAAAAUAGUAGUGAUAUAAUAGAAACUUCCUCGAGAUCAUCUGUGAGUAUCCAAAUUGCAUGACUACUGUACUAUGUCAUGUGUAAUCCUUAAAGUGUUAUUGUCAUAGAUAGAGUCCAAGUGAGGACCUGAACUUGAAACUUUGGAAUCUGUUGUGUGUAAUUUAGGAGAUAAAAUUUAUGUGUAUAAAAGGUUAAUGAGUCUAUUUUCAAAAGAAACAAAUAGAAACAUUAUAAAAAUUAUGUAUUGAAACAUAAAUAAUUUUUAGUGGAGAAGGGUCAGAGUUGCCUAACAGCAGAACAUGGGAGAUUUGAAGAAAAUAAUAUAUUAUUUGGCUUAUGUAGAAAUUUUGAAAUUUUUAUGGUAACAAUUUCAUUGAGUCUAGUUUCAAAAACAAAAAGCGGAUCUUAAUUUCAAAUUGUGUAGGUUAAGAUAUAAAUAAUUUGUGACUAUUAUUCAAGUAGACAACCUUGUUAAGAGUAUACGUGUAAUUAGUAAAAGAAUAAUUAAUGUUACAUAUAGACAUGUUAUACUAAAAGUCAAAGAUUCUUAUCUAUAUACAUGUACAUAUAGGAUGCGGAAUGGAGAGGAGGAGGAGGAAAAUAAUAGAAGAAUUGUAAUACUAAGAAGUUGAUAUAAGAGAUGGAAUUGUUAAUAUAUAAGAGAAGUUUAAAUGAACUUGAUGAGACAUUAAGUAAGUAAUUUUUAUAUGAUGAAUUAAUGAAGUAUUAAUUAAUAAGUUGUAACUUUAAAUGGAUUUAAAUUGAAAAGUUGAAAAGUUUUAUAUGAUACUAAUUUAAAAAAAUUGUAAAUUUAAGUGAAAUUAAAGUGACAUUAUAUUAAAUAGUGAUUUUCAUGAAAUUUUUUGCAACUGAUUGCCAAAUUAAUUGAAAUAAUGGAUUGAGAUAGUCUGAGUUGCUCUUGCAAGAUUAAGUGACGGCACACAUCCAAUGACGACAACUGAGUUUGGUAUUGGGUUUCACAAAAAAUCUUAUCACAUGCGUAUUUUUGUAGAAAUCACAUAUUUAGAAUAUAAAGAUGUGAAAAAUAUAAUGUCGAUAAUAACAAUAUAUCGCAAAGAAAAAUAGAAAUAGAAAAAUAAAAAACACACAGAUUUUACGUGGAAACCCUUUCGGGAAAAAAACCACGGGCAGAAGAGAAGAAAAUUCACUAUGUCGAAUUCAAAUUAAUUACAAGAGGAGUAGACUAUGCCUAUUAAUAGGCUUGUAAACCUUAUUCUAAUAGAAGUGAAACUCCUUAUUCAAAUAAUAUCAAAUAGAUGGAGUUUAAUAAGGUUUAAAAAACCUUAUUCUAAAAUAAAAUAAAAGAAGUAUAAUUCUAUUGGGAUUUUACUUUUAUUUUAUUUUACCACAGUAUUUUAUUUAAAUAAGAAUUUGGGUCACUUAAUUCUAACAAUCUCCACCUUAACACAAAUUCUUAAUGAACAAGUUCUUCAUCGCGAACUCUCAACGAACAAGUUUCUUGACCUCUUCCAUAAAACCCCUUAAGAGUUUAUCUUCAACAAUGAACACCAACCAAGUCUAAGCAAUACUCAAACUUGGUUAUAGGAAGUGACUUUGUCAUCAUAUCUGCAGGAUUUUCAUGAGUACUAGUUUUGCUCACAACAAUAUCACCACGAGCAAUAAUAUCACGAACAAAAUGAUACCGAACAUUAAUGUGUUUUGUUCUCUCAUGAAACAUUUGAUCUUUUGUAAGGAAAAUGGCACUCUGACUGUCACAGAAUACUAUAUUGAUUUGAAGGUCUUCAUUGAGUUCACUAAAGAGCCCCUUCAACCAAAUAGCUUCUUUACAAGCCUCAGUAAUCGCCAUGUACUCAGUUUCAGUGGUAGACAAAGCGACUGUAGUUUACAAAGUGUCUUUUCAAAUGAUUGCACAAUCUUCGAUUGUAAAGACUAACCGGUGAGAGAUCUUCUUCUAUCGAGGUCUCUAGUAAAAUCAGCAUCAACAUACCCAAUGACUCCAUUUCUAGUUCUUCCAAACUGUAAGCAAACAUUGGUAGUACCUCGUAAGUAUCUUAAAACCCAUUGAACUACUUUCUAAUGUUCUUUACCGGAAUUCGCCAUGUAUCUGCUAACUACACUAACUGCAUAUGAUAAAUCUGGACAUGAACAAACCAUAACUGCAUAUGAUAAAUCUGGACGUGAACAAACCAUGGCUUACAUGAGAGAUCCCACUGCACUAGAGUAUGAAACAUGUGAUAUGUACUCAAUCUCAUCAUCUAAUUGUGGAGACAAAGCCGAUGAAAGUCUAAAAUGCGCUGCUAAAGGAGUACUAACAGGCUUAGCAUUCUGCAUAUUGAAUCUGGAAAGAACUUUCUCAGUGUACCCUUUUUGACUUAAGUACAAUUUACUUGCUUUUCUAUCCCUGAGAAUCUCCAUACCAAGUAUCUUCUUUGCUAGUCUCAAGUCUUUCAUCUCAAAUUCUUCACUUAGUUGGGCUUUGACCUUUCUUAUCUCUCCUUUAUCUUUUGCUGCUAUCAACAUGUCAUCAACAUAAAGGAGUAGAUACACAAAAGAACCAUCACUAUUUUUCUUAAAGUAAACACAACUGUCAAAGCUACUUCUUUUAAAUUUAUGAGAAGUCAUAAAGGAAUCAAACCUCUUAUACCACUGUCUUGGUGACUGUUUCAAACCGUAAAGGGACUUUUUCAGGAAGCAAACGUAGUCCUCUUUUUCUGAGACUGUAAAACCCUCUGGUUGUUGCAUGUAAAUAUCCUCCUCAAGUUCUACAUGAAAGAAAUGCAAUUUUUACAUCUAACUGCUCAAGCUCCAAAUCAUGCAUGGUCACAAUACCAAGCAAAGCUCGAAUCGAACUAUGCUUUACAACUGGAGAGAACACAUCUAUGAAGUCCACUCCUGGAAUUUGACUGUAACCCUUUGCAACAAGCCUUGCUUUAUAUCUAGGUUCUUCAACUCUUGGAGUCCCCUCUUUCUUUUUAAACACCCAAUUACAACGAACAAUCAUUUUACCUUUAGGAAGUUUCACAAGACCCCAUGUUUGAUUUUUGUGUAGUGAUUCCAUCUCCUCUUGCAUAGCAAACAUCCACUUUUCUGAGUCUUCACAACUAAUCGCCUUAGAAUAAUUAGAUGGCUCUUGGUUUGCAUCUAUAUCUUUAGCCACAUUUAAAGCAUAAGCAACUAGAUCAGCCUCGGCAUACUUCUUUGGAGGUUUAAUUUCUCUUCUAGUUAUGUUUUUGGCGAUAGAGUAUUGUGGUGAAGAAGUAACUCUAUUUUGAAUUUUUGUAUUGGCUUUAGUAGUUGACUCUAUUGUAGAUUCUAGAUUAAUCUAAUGCUCCACCUACUUUUGAUUUUCUUUAUUGGAAGAUUCUUUAAGAGGUAAGUUAGGUAGCAUAGCAGUUUCAUCAAAAACAUCUCUGCUAAUCACAACUUUUCUAUUUUUAGGACACCAUAACUUAUACCCUUUUACACCAGCUUUAUAACCAAGAAAAACACAUUUAAUAGAUCUCGGUUCCAAUUUUCCAUUAUCAACAUGAGCAUACGCAGGACAACCAAAGAUCUUUAAAUCAGAAUAGUCAGCAGGAUUACUAGACCAUACCUCUUGUGGAGUCUUUUUCUCAAUGGCAACGGAUGGAGAUCGGUUGAUCAAAAAACAUGUAGUAGAGGCUGCUUCUGCCCAAAAUGACUUUGAUAAGUUGGCAUUUGACAACAUACAUUAAACCUUCUCCAUGAUCGUUCUGUUCAUUCGUUCUACAAUGCCGUUUUGCUGUGGAGUAUGACGAACUGUCAAGUGUCUCACGAUCCCUUCUAACUUGCACAGUUUAUUAAAUUCAUUAGAACAGAACUCUAAGCCAUUGUUUGUGCGGAGGUAUUUUAUUUUCUUUUUCGUCUAUUUUUCAAUCAUGGUUUUCCAAGACUUAAAUGUGAAAAACACGUCGUUUUUCUGCUUCAAGAAGAACACCCACACUUUUCUAGAAAAAAUCAUCAAUAAUAGUAUAUAAUUAGCUCCACCUCUCGAAGGCACUCUGGAUGGCCCCCACAGAUCAGAAUGAAUAUACUCCAAUGUUCCCUUUGUGCUAUGGAUUCCUCUGGUGAAUCGAACUCUCUUUUGCUUCCCAAAAAUGCAGUGCUCACAGAACUUCAGUUUGCAAAUUCCUUACCCAUCAAGAAGUCCUCUUUUGCUCAAUUCUGCCAUGCCAUUCUCACUCAUAUGCCCUAGGCGCAUAUGCCAAAUUUUAGUAAUAUCAUCAUCUGACAAGGAAGAGGAUGACAUAGGUACAUCACCAGUAACAGUAGAACCCUGCAAAACAUAUAACUUAGCAGUCUUUCUCUGCCCUUUUAUCACAAUGAGGGAACCUUUGGAAAUCUUCAAAACCCCACUUUCAGCUGUGUAUUUGUACCCUUUUGAAUCAAUAGUACUCAAUGAAAUUAAAUUUCUCUUUAAUUCUGGAACAUGUCGUACGUCACUGAGUGUUCUGACAACUCCAUCAAACAUCUUAACUCUAAUUGUUCCAACACCUGCAAUUCUACGUGAAGCAUUAUUUUCCAUCAACACAAUACCUUCAGACAUUGUUUCGUAAGUUGUAAAUCAAUCCCGAUUGGGACUCAUGUGGAAGGUACAACCCGAAUCAAGAAUCCACUCUUCGCUCGCUUUAGAAUUAUUGACAGAAGCGACUAGAAGUUUACUAUCGCUGUAAUAUUCUACAACAUCAGCUUUACCUACGUGAAACAUUAUUUCCCAUCAACACAAUACCUUCAGACAUUGUUUCGUAAGUUGUAAAACAAUCCCGAUUAGGACUCAUGUGGAAGGUACAACCCGAAUCAAGAAUCCACUCCUCGCUCGCUUUAGAAUUAUUGACAGAAGCGACUAGAAGUUCACUAUCGCUGUAAUAUUCUACAACAUCAACUUUACCAGAAUUUUCUAGUUGUUUUCCAUUUUAAUUCACAGCCUCCCUUUUGAUCUUGUUCUGUAGCUUAUAGCACUCAGAUUUAAUGUGUCAUUUCUUCUUGCAAAAGUUACAAGUUUUACCUUUGUUUGAAGACUUCGAUCUACCCUUAGAUUUACUGCGAGGAUUCUGUUCCUGUGUCCUUCCACGACUACUAUUAGCAUUUCGAUCUUGUCUCCCACGAACAAAAAGACCCUCUCUCUAAGAGUCAGUUUUAACCACAAGAUACUUCAUCUUAUCAUACGAGGUUAAAGAAUCAUAAACCUCAUCAACUGUGAGAGACUCGCGGCUAUAUAAAAUCGUAUCUCUAAAGGUUGAAUAAGACGGGGGCAACGAACAAAGUAGAAUCAACCCUAGAUCUUCCUUAUCAUACUGAACCUCCAUGGCCUCCAAGUUUGAGAGAAUUUCUUUGAACACUGUUAAGUGUUCGUGCACAGAUGCACCUUCCUCCAAACGAUGAGCAUAAAGACGCUGCUUCAUAUGUAACUUGCUAGUUAGAGUUUUUGACAUACAUAUCUGUUCCAACCUCUUCCAUAAUCCAGCGACAGUCUUUUCCUUCAUCACAUCCUGCAAAAUUUUGUUAGACAAAUACAGAUGUAACUGUGUUAAUGCCUUUUGAUCCUUGCGCUUCUUCUCUUCUUCCGUCAAUGUUGAAGGCAUCUUAUCUACCCCUAGUAGGGCUUCCUCUAAGUCCAUCUGUGCAAGAAUUGAUUGCAUCUUUAUCUGCCACAACACAAAUCUGGUGUUGCGAUCCAACAGUGAAAUUUCGUACUUCAAAGACGUCAUUACCGUGAUUGAGAUGGACAACCCGGAAGCUCUGAUACCAAUUUGUGAAAAAUAUAUUGUCGGUAAUGACAAUAUAUCACAAAGAAAAAUAGAAAUAGAAAAAUAAAGAACACACAGAUUUUACAUGGAAACCUUUUCGGGAAAAAACCAUGGGCAGAGGAGAAGAAAAUUCACUAUGUCGAAUUUAAAUUAAUUACAAGAGGAGUAGACUAUGCCUAUUAAUAGGCUUGUAAACCUUAUUCUAAUAGGAGUGAAACUCCUUAUUCAAAUAAUAUCAAAUAAAUGGAGUUUAAUAAGGUUUAAAAAACCUUAUUCUAAAAUAAAAUAAAAGAAGUAUAAUUCUAUAGGGAUUUUACUUUUAUUUUAUUUUACCACAGUAUUUUAUUUAAAUAAGGAUUAGGGUCACUUAAUUCUAACAAAAGAUGUGUUUAAAAAUAAUAUACAAUAAAUAAUAAAAAGUAUGGUUUGAAACUAUUUAAUAAGGACAUAUGAAAUAUGUACAAUAUUAAAAUAGAAAAAAAGAUUAAAUUGUGAGUAAAAUGAAACCUAAAUACAAAAAACACAUAAUGUUAGAGUUGAGUGACCCGAAUCCUUAUUUAAAUAAAAUACAGUGGUAAAAUAAAAUAAAAGUAAAAUCCAUAUAGAACUACAAUUCUUUUAUUUUAUUUUAGAAUAAGAUUUUUUUAAUCCUUAUUAAACUCCAUCUAUUUGAUAUUGAUUAGAAUAAUGUGUUUCAAUAUUACUACACUCCUAUUAGAAUAUGGUUUUACAAGCCUAUAAAUAAAUAUAGUCUACUCCUCUUAUAAUAAUUUGAAUUUGACAUAGUGAAUUAUCUUCUCCUCUACCCGUGGUUUUUUUCCCGAAAGGAUUUCCACGUAAAAAUCUAUGUGUUCUUUAUUUUUUCUUUCUCUUUUCUUUGUGAUACAUUGUCAUUACCGACGUUCUGUUUUUUCACACAUAAGAUUAAAAUACUAAAGAAAUACAAUUUUUUAUCAUUAUUUUGUCAUCAAUCCUUAGUUGGUGUUAAGUUAAUUUGUGAUACUAACUCAAUCAACAACAUUAUUAAAGCAAGAAAUCUUAUCAUAUGUGUAUGUGUGUGGAAAAUAUGAAUUUAGAACAUGGAUGUGUGUUUAUAAAUAACAUUCAACAAACAAUGAAGCGUAAGGUUUAAAUCUAAUUAAUCAUAAUAACACAUGAAAUAUGUUAAAUUUGUUUAAAAUUUAAUUUAUAAAAGUUUACUUAAGAAUUAUUAUUGGUGUAGUGGUAAAGAAUUUGUUUAUAAAUUCAUUAACCAUGAGUUUAAUUCUCAUAUAUGUGAAUUUUAGGUAUUUUAUUUAAACAAAAAACUAUAUAAAUGUAUGAAAAGGCAAAAAUGUCAUCAAAAUAAUAGUAGUAGCCAUUUAAUAAAAGUGCAUAGUAGCCAUUUCUUAACCGAGUUGGUACCUUUUAACCCGUGACACCAAUUCAAUUAGAGGUUUUAUUAAUAGUAUAGAUACACAAAUAUAUAUAAAUGUAUAUAACAAAUAUAUUUAUCAAAGUUUGAAAUAAAAACAUCAAAAUAACUUCAGUUUUACAUGGUAAAUAAAAAAGUUUUAUAUGCAUGAUAUCAAAUCUCAUUAUGGACUAAUUUUUAUCGGUUUAUAAAAUAUAAAAACACAAAAACACCCAAAUAAUUACAUAACUUACUUAGCAAAUAAAAUGAUGUAUUUGGUUCAAAUCUUAUUAUAGAUAAAUUUUUAUUAAUUUAUAAAAAUAUAAAAAGGCAGAAACACUCGUAUAAACAUUUAACUUAGUAAAUAAAAUGAUUUUUUUUGUAAUUCUCUAAUUAAGUUAAGACCGGGUUAAUGAGUGACAUUAACUUAAUAAAAAAUUUAAAUAAUAGUAUAGAUAAAUCUCUAAAAGUUGACGUGAUGAAAAGAACAAAAAAUAAAUAUAAUUGUGAAAAAUAUCUAUACGUGUGCUGGCUGAAUUUAAAAAAAUUAAAAAUAAAAGCCAAAAAAAUUAUAUAAUAUUAUAAAAUUAUAAAAUUUCAAAAACAAAAUCUAAAAGGUGAAAAGUUAACAGAGUAUUAAAAAAAAGUCUUUAAUGAACAAUUUUAAUUUCAAAAGUUUUUUUAAAAUAUAACUUUUUACGGAUUUUUUUUUUUCAAAAUUUUUUUAGAGAAAAUAAAAAAUUAAAGAGAAGCAAAAAGAAGAUAGACACAAUUAACAAGGAUAGGAAUACUAAAACCGAAGCAAACAAGCUCAUCUAAUACUAUCAACUGCGAGUUUAGAAACAAGAAAAGUGGGAAGUGACUCCUCAUUUCAAAUGGUUUACGUAUAAAAAGGUCACUCAAACCACAAAAUAAAUCGCUGUAUUAGCAUCUUGACAAAUCUAACAAAAUGAUAAAUAGUGAAAUUGAUCUAAGACACAAUCAUCCAACCAGCGUGUUAAAGCAUUCACAAGCAUUUGACACAGUCCCAUUCCAUUGUCACAUUAUCUACUAUCAAAAAGCUAAUUUGUUAUUUUCUUUUGAAUUUUUAUAAUUUUUAUUAAUAUAAUAUAAUGCUUUUCUUUUUUUAAAAAAAAAUUUUAACCAACUGUGUAUUUACAGACAUUUUUCGCAAAUGUUUUUUUUUCUUUUGAUCGCCUUAGCUGGUGUUAUUGAAUCAGAUCAGACUAAUUAAUUAAAUCGGUUAAACUAAAUGUGAUAGUUCAUAUGAUGGUUGUCGAAACCACUUUUUAAUAAAUUGUAUCGACUUUAACUUUGAAAACGAAAACAAACACGGGAGUCGCCACCAAUCUUUUUUAAUGAGGUGUGAUCGGGUCACCUCGAAAAAUAGUUAUGUUUAUAAACAAUUUGAUUUAUUAAAACGACAAUUUUGGUCUACGAAAUUCAAAAAGAUGGGUUCGGGAGUCGGUUACUACGAGAAAGGAUUAGCACCCUCGUAACGCCCAAAAAUUGGUACCUAGUUGAUUAAUUAGUGUCUUAUUGUUGAAAGUUAAAAACUCAAAAAGAAUUUAGGAUACGAUCCUUUGUUAAAAUAUUAAAAAUUUUCAAGAAAUGGGCACAUUUCACGUUAAUCGAGAAAGAGAAUUACAUCCUGUAAGCUAGGAUACAAUGUCUUAAAUUUCCGAUACAAAAAUACAUGCCAAAAAAUUUAUUUAUUCGAAAGAUAUUCAAUUAUCUCGGUUUUAGAAAAGAUCAUAUUCCGUAAGUUAGAAUACGAUUUUUGUACUAAUUCCCGAGAUUAAAAAAACAUAUAUUUCUUAAAAGAGAUUUGUAUGUUCGAAUUUGUCGAGAAAAAACCAAAAACCCCGUAGGUUAGGGUAUGACCCUUUUGAAUUAAAUACGAAGUUUUAUUUAUUUUAAAGGAAAAAAUUCUUUUUUAUGUAUCGGAUAAAAAACUGUGAUAUGAAUUAAAAAAAUAGUAAUGAAAUAAUGUAAGGUGAUAAUACAAGCAAAAUAUUAAAAUGAUAAUUAAUAAUAAAAUAAAAAACUAUAAAAAGCAAGGAAUGACAAUAUUGAUAAUCAAAUUGUAACAAUAAAACGUAAAAUAGAAUAAAAUGAAAAUAGGGACCGCACAAAAGAAUGUAAUGAGGAUCUAAUAAUUAAAAGAAAUGAUAAACCAAUAAGAAACUAAUAAUAAAAAAGAACCCAAUAUAUGGAAAAAAAUCUAUUUUUUAAAAAGGUUAUUUUCAAUAUAAAAGGUUGAAAAUAUAAUAACAAAUAAACAGUAAAUGAAAAUAAAUAGGUAAAAAGUAAAUAAAUAAAAUAAUGAAUAAUAAAAAAUAAAGUAUAUGAAAACUUAAAAUGAAUAAUAAUAAAAUAGUUUAAAAUAAAUAAAUAAUAAAGAAGACAUAUAACGGUUUUUUAAAGGAAAAUAAUAUGAAGAAAUUUAAAUGAUAAUAUGCAUAUAAUAGUUUAAAAUGGAUAAUAUAUGAACAACUUAAAAUAAAUAAUAAUAGAACAAUUUAAAAUAAAUAAUAUAAAGUUUAAAAUAAAUAAGUAAAUAGUUUGCAAAAAUAAAUUGAAAUCUAACAGAUUUGGGACUAGAUCAGGACAAAAAAUGAAAUUAAAGGGUAAACACCGUAAAAAAAAACAAAGGGGACUAAAAUCAAAAGGCGCUCAAAGGUCGAGGAUCAGAUGGGUAAUAAAACCCAAAUUUGGACACGCGUAAAUGAGCCAGGGACAGGACUGAAAAACAUGCAAAAUUCUAGGGCUAAAUUUAAAGAAUAAAGAAAAGAAAGAAAAAAGACCAAACUGCGAAUCAUUGCAAAAGCGGAGGGACAACGCGUGUAAAUAUCCCGUCAAAGCAAAACACGCGGAUCCUCCCUCUAGGGCGGGUCAACACGCGGGUUAAGGCUCAAAACGACGUCGUUUUGGCGCCAGGAGCUUUGGCCCAAAACAAGUCUAUAUAAAUCAAAAUUUAAAAAAAAACCAUUUUUUCUCUUUCACUCCCAAAAAUCAAACAAAAACUCUCUCCCCUCCCCUUUACACAUUUCCAGAAUCCGGCCAGCUCCGGCGUCAGACCACCGCGGCAGUCGUCGGUUACCGGUGACGGCACUGCCAUCCGCGGUGGCUGAAAAAUCGAAAAGUUACCAUUUUUUGGUUUUUUCAGUUCCCAGACCAAUGAAACUCCGAUUUUCAUCGGAAUUGGCACCUCCCUCACAAAAAGGUACGACUCGAUCUUUUCUUUUUAUUUAUGUUCUGCUUUAAAAAAUAAAAGUAAAAGUAAAAAAAAAUAAAAACGAAAAAAAUAAAAAUAAAAAUAAAAAUAAAACAACUACCUUCGGAAAUCUACUGAUUUGUAUUGAUUUAUUUUUUGCUAUUCUCUUUGACUCAUUCGUAAGUCCAAAUACAUAAAAUUGGAGCUCUUUUUAUAGACCAAAAAUACCACUUAUUUCUCUAUUUUUCUUAUUUUUUACACUGUUUUUUUGGUUUUGGACUCUUCUAGUCCGUUUGCAGGUAAAAACAUGGCGGCACACGUGGAGAAGGCGGCGCGCGCGGGGCUGCCGUUUGGCUACUAUUGGGGGCGGCAGCUACUAGGUUUUCUACUUAAGAUUUCUUUUGUUGUUGUUUUGGGCUAGGGUUUAGUUGGGUUUAGUUGGGCUGUUUGGGUAUUAGGUUGUUUAGGUAUUGGGUCAUUGUAAUUGGACAUUAAUUAAUUUAUUUAUUAUAUUGGACGGAUGUUUGGGCUGUAUUUAUUUGGGCUGUUUUGGUUUUAAUAGGCUCGGGCAUAAUUUGGAGUUUACAAUGGUAUAUAACAAAAAAAUAAAGCAAAUUGUUGCAAUUUGGUAAGAGAAAAUAAAUAUAAGGCCAAAAAUUGACAGUUCAAUUAGACCUGUCCAUGGGCCGGGCCGGGCCGGGUUUGGGCUGGGCCCAUAAAAAAUUUCAGCCCGUUUACUAAGCCCAGGCCCGGCCCGACCCGAAAUAUGGGCCUGAGAUUUUGCCCAAGCCCGGCCCGGAGAAAAAAUAUGGGGCCCGAGCCCAUCCCGGCCCGUUUUUAAUUAAAAUUAAAAUUAAAAAUUUUUUUAAUAAAAUUAAAACUAAUUGUUAUUAAAAUUAAUUGUUAGUAAAAUUAUCAAAUUAUUAAUUGUUAAUUGUAUUAAUUGUUGUAAUAAAAUCUAACAUUUAAUUAGUAAAUUUAUCAAAUUAUUAAUUGUAUUAAUUGUUGUAAUAAAAUCUAACAUUUGAUUAGUAAAUUUAUCAAAUUAUUAAUUGUAUUAAUUGUUGUAACAAAAUCUAACAUUUGAUUAGUAAAACAAACUUGAUGUUUUAUUAUUAUUAUUUUGUAACACUAGUCAAGCAAAUGAAAGUAAAUAAACUUAAAAUAAAAAACUAUUAUAUUUUAAAAAUAAAAAAUAUAUAUUUAAAAUUUUUCGGGCCGGGCCGGGCCAAAAAAAUAUUGCCCGAGGCCCGGCCCAUUUUUUAAAUGGGCCUAAAUUUUUUCCCAAGCCCAUAUUUCGAGCCUAUAUUUUUACCCAAACCCUCUCAUAUUUUGGGCGGGCCGUCGGGCCGGACCGGGCCGCCCGGCCCAUGGACAGGUCUAAGUUCAAUCUAUUGUUUUUUUAAUAAUUGUUUUUAUUUUUUAAAAUAAAUUUUUAUUUUUAAUUAAAUAUAAUUGAAAUAUCAAUUCAACUAAUUGAACUGAAAAUUCAUAAUACGAAUGAUCCAACAUUGAAGUUAACAAAUAUAAUUAACUUUAUUUGUUGAAUUUGGAUAAUUAUAGAGACUAAAUUUUGUAGCUUAUUUUGAUAAAUAGUUAACAACAUUAUCAAUGCUUAUUUUCUAAAACUACUUCGUUUAUUUUGAAUUUGACCAAAUUACUGAGUAAGGAUCUCCUAAAUAUUAAUUCUUUAAUUUUCGUAGCAUUUGAACAUAAGAUCCAUAUCUUGGUUUAUGCUGGUUGAUUUCUGUGUGUGAUGCCAAACAUAGCUUAUUUGCUAUCACCUUCUAUUGUUUCUGCGUUUCAAUGGAAAAUUAUUUUUCAUCAAAGUGAAUAAUGAUGCUUUCGAAGAAUCACUGUGACAUCAACAUAUGAAAAAAAUGUAGAUAUAAUCUUUCAUUUUAAUUCCAACAUGUCAUCCAUUUGUUUCGUUUAGACAUCGUACACAUAUGAUGUAUUCAUGUUAUUAGGGAUUAUCCCAUCAAACCUUGCUCAGCAAUAUUUUCCAUUUUCUGAAACAAAUUAAAAUGAUUUUUUGAUAAUUCUAUCUCCGACAAGAAGCAUGCAGAGCAAAGCAAAGAGGAAGGAUCAUAGAAAUGUAUGAUAAGAUAAAAAUUUGCCAUUAAAUACAGCAAAACGAUGUAGCAUUACAUUACAUUAUUUAUUCCCUUAAAAUGCACAUAUACUUGACAAAAAGCCCUUCAUCCAUGGCCAGCCAAUCCUUAUGCAUCCAUGCGAAUCAUGCACCUCAGGCCCUCGCCAGCAAGCAUGUACUCAAAUGCCUUGUUAAUCUCAGAGAAGGGAACUGAGUGAGUGAUGAACUUGUCAAGUUCAAGUUCCUGCAAUAUCAAAGAGAUCGCAGUCAGUGUUGCUUUUUAUUGGUACUUGUAUACGAAGAUAAAAUGCUUAAACAGGAAGGUAAACUCACCUUGUUCAUGUAUCUCUCAACGACAGCAGGAAUAUCAGUUCGAGGUUUGUAGUUGCCAAAGAAAGUACCCUUGAGAGUCCUUUCAUUCAGUAGAUUCACUGGAUGAGUUUUGAAUGCAUCGUCUUUGUUGGGAACCCCCACAAGCACUGCAACUCCCCAACCCUGAAAAUUUACGUCAUUUCAGCUAAGGAUGGCAACGUAAAAAGAUACAAUCUAACAUCGAGAAAUUUUGUUUGAAGAUAAUUACAUCGUGGACACAUUCAAAUGCAGAAAUCAUGGCCUGGAUGCUCCCGGUACAUUCAACACUGCGGUCGACUCCUCCACCCGUCAUCUCAGCAAUGACCUGAUUAUUAGAAUCAUUUUUAUAAUAAGGAUCUCAAACAAGUUGAUUAUAUAAUGCAGCUUGUAUGCGUAGUGACCCUAGUAUAGAUGGUCAUGUUCGAAACAGAAUCCAAUACAAUAUCUGAAAUUUCAAGUAGGAAGUAACCUCUUGAACAGGUUUGUUGUGAUCUUUCGGAUUCACAAACUCCGUAACACCGAAGUUCUUGGCUGCAAGAAGUAAUGAGAACAAGCAUGAUCAGUUUUGUGACUUUGCUUAACCAGAAACAUAACCAUUCUUGCAAGUUUUUGUGUAAAAUAACUACGAAACCAAUGCUACCUAGUUCGAAUCUGCUAGGGUUCAAAUCGACACCAAUGAUCCUGGAAGCCCCAGAAACUCUUGCUCCUUCAGCAGCCUAAAUAUCAGAACAGAGAAUUACAGAAAAAUCAAUCUAACGCUUUUUGUGUUGCCAAGGGGAAGAAAACAUAUAACAUAAAUGCGACAAGAAUAACUCACAGCAAGACCGACAGCACCUAGUCCAAAUAUUGCAACGGAUUGACCCUUUUUGGGUUUAGCUACAUUCACAGUGGCACCAAACCCUGCAAUAAAAGUAGUGAAACAAGAACAUCCUCACUGUCAUUAACACCAUUUAUAUCUCCCGAAAAAAGGAAAGACAAAAAUGAAAUCCAAGUCCCGAACCUGUGGACAUUCCGCAGCUUAGAACACAAACUUUAUCAAGCGGAGCCUCCGGAUUGAUCUUGGCAACCUGGCCGACAUGGACAACAGUGUAUUCACUGAAAGUAGAGGUGCCUAGGAAGUGGUAGAUAGGCUUCCCAUUGAUGGAAAACCUGGAUUUUCCAUCAUUAAUCAUUUCACCCCUAUCAGUGUUGAUUCGGAGGAGAUCACACAUGUUACUUUCUUCUGACAAGCAAUGGGGACACUCCUUGCAUUCCCCCGUGAAGAUGGGGAGAACAUGAUCACCUGGCUUUAGAUCAGUCACCCCCUCACCUACACUCUCCACAAUCCUAUAUAUUCAAAAGAAAAGGGUUAAUGUGUAUACAUAUAAUGAUAAUAUUGUAGGAACUGUAAACAUUUAAACAGACAUAUACAUACCCUCCAGCUUCAUGACCUAGUAUGCGAGGAAACAGAGGGUUUUGUCCCUACAAGAAGAGAAAAUUGUUGUCAAUCACAAUGUGAGAGAUAAGUAUCAGAAAAUCAUAUCUAAGAGAAAGAAAAAAACUGAAGCAAAUGCUUAUUGCGUAGUCUUGGAUGAAGGAAGCAAUGGAAGCAAUUUAUCAAAAAGAAUCAUCCUUUUAUGAAGUUCACCAUUGGUGAAAGCCAAUGUGGAGGAUAAAAUAAGAACUUCGGCUAAAAAUAGAUUAGACUCCCAACAUCAAUAUAAUCAAAAUAAUCAGCAAUAUUGCAGAUUCAGGGCUUUGUAAAAACUUUUACUUCUUUAACAGUUAUAAACCAAUCGACAAAAACAAGUUGAAGUAAGAGAGAGAGAGAGAGAGAGAGAGAGAGAGAGAGAGAGAGAGGUGUAAAACCUUAGCAUCCCAGAAGUAGACAUCGGUGUGACAUAAAGAAGUGAAGAGUAUCUUAAUACGGAC
RNAcentral lists this long non-coding RNA (26388 nucleotides) under Gossypium barbadense (sea-island cotton). RNAcentral describes it as "long non-coding RNA (GBAR_LNC014018)". The record is from RNAcentral. Lineage: Eukaryota; Viridiplantae; Streptophyta; Magnoliopsida; Malvales; Malvaceae.